Molecule: transfer RNA, 58 nt
Filed under: Merluccius polli (Benguela hake)
Lineage: Eukaryota; Metazoa; Chordata; Actinopteri; Gadiformes; Merlucciidae
Description: tRNA-OTHER
Source: RNAcentral
UAGCUCAACUGGUAGAGCAUGGCAUUAACAUUGCCGGGUUCGAUUACCAGUUGGACCA